AUGUUGAUUCCAUUCCGUCUGGAGUUGCUCAUCUCCACACUCGUGCUACUCGUUCCCAUGUACUUGUACUUUAGGUCUCGUAGUAGAUCAAAGAACCCAGCAGCUCUCCCCAUAAACUGGCCAAUAAUACACAUGUUCCCUUCCUUGCUGGUCAACGUCCACAACUUGCUUGACUAUUUCACCUUGGUUCUCGCCGGUAACAGCCACAACUUCAGGGCGCAUGGCCCACUUGGGACCGGAAUGAGGUUCUUCGUUACCUGCGACCCUGCAAACAUCCGCCACAUCUUCACGACAAACUACACCAACUUCCCCAAGGGCGCGGAGUUCGCUGCCAUUUUCGACAUCAUGGGUGACAGCCUCUUCAACGUCGACGGCGCACGAGCUCUUCGUCCACGAGUGAAGAUCCAUACUGUACUCAGCAGCCCGCGGUUGGUUGCCAGUAUGGAGGCUUGCUGCCGCGACAAGGUGGUGAACAACCUUCUCCCGUUGUUUUGCCACAUGGCAAGCACCAACGCUCUAUUUGACAUGCAGGAACUAAUGUCAAGGUUUAUGUUUGACUUGGCCACUACGGCUCUAUUUAGCGUGGACCCUGGCCUUCUUUCCACAGACAUGCCGCCCAUGGACAUCGCAGUUGCCAUGGAUACGGUCAUGGAAGUAGGCUUUUUUCGGCACAUGAUGCCAGCCUCUUGCUGGAAGGUGAUGAGGUGGCUAAACAUUGGGCCUGAGAGAAAGCUUGGUGCAGCGCACACAGUACUACGAGUGUUCAUCGCAAAGAUGAUCGAACGGAGGAACAUCGACAAAGUACAUGUUAGUAAUGAUGAGGAACAAGAGGGUGUGGAUAUUCUGUCUUCCUACAUCAACGACCCAGACUUCGCCGACUACGACUUUCUCUGUGCGGGGCUCAUUGGCCUCAUGCUCGCUCUGCGGGACACGGUUCGCACGACCCUGACAUGGAUCUUCUACAACCUCGCUCAGAACCCUGACAUCGUGGCAACUAUCCGUAAUGAAUUGUUACCAAUUGCAUUACAAAAAGCACCCACGGGUGCGGGUGCCAUGGUGAUCUUUGAGCCAGAGGAGAUCAAGUCUCUGGUCUAUCUACGAGCCACCUUGUAUGAGACUCUCAGGCUCUACCCACCGGCGCCCUUGGAGCGCAAGACGGUGGCCACUGAGGAUAUCAUGCCGAGUGGCCACAAGGUGCAUGCAGGUGACACAGUCUUUGUUUCCAUCUAUUCCAUGGGAAGAAUGAGGGACGUGUGGGGUGAGAAUUGUCUGGACUAUAACCCACACAGAUGGCUCUCAAAGGACGGCAACACGCUGAGGUACGUACCGUCUCACAAGUUCUUGUCCUUCAACUCAGGCCCGAGGAUAUGCCCUGGCAAGGACAUUGCGGUUAUGCAAAUGAAGAUCAUCAUCGCCACAGUGUUGUGGAACUUCGAUGUGGAGGUAUUAGAAGGGCAGAGCAUCCGGCCCAAGUCGUCCUGUAUACUGCAAAUGGAAAAUGGGCUCAUUGUGAAGCUGAAGAAGCGACAAGCAUAA
This 1536-nucleotide ribosomal RNA is filed under the name Triticum aestivum (bread wheat). Its description in RNAcentral is "partial small subunit ribosomal RNA". The record is from RNAcentral. Lineage: Eukaryota; Viridiplantae; Streptophyta; Magnoliopsida; Poales; Poaceae.